GAGCCUUCCGCGACUGGGAGACGCUCUGACUUUUAAUCAGAGGGCCCUGGGUUCGAGUCCCAGCGCACUCACCA
RNAcentral lists this transfer RNA (74 nucleotides) under Microvirga sp. 3-52. Its description in RNAcentral is "tRNA-Lys". The record is from RNAcentral. Lineage: Bacteria; Pseudomonadati; Pseudomonadota; Alphaproteobacteria; Hyphomicrobiales; Methylobacteriaceae.